AUGAUAUCUAUGGAGUACGGGAGAGGUGGGGGGAACUGCAGAAGUAGAGGUGAAAUUCGUAGAUAUGUGCAGGAAUGCGGAUGAUGAGGAUAGUUCUCUGGACGGUAACUGACGCUGAAGUGCGGAAGCCGGGGGAGCGAACAGG
This 145-nucleotide ribosomal RNA is filed under the name uncultured Leptotrichia sp. RNAcentral describes it as "partial 16S ribosomal RNA". It matches the Rfam family "Bacterial small subunit ribosomal RNA", at positions 632 to 776 of the family's 1533-position model. The record is from RNAcentral. Lineage: Bacteria; Fusobacteriati; Fusobacteriota; Fusobacteriia; Fusobacteriales; Leptotrichiaceae.